This is a long non-coding RNA of Solanum tuberosum (potato), 550 nucleotides long. RefSeq lists it as uncharacterized. The transcript has 2 exons. NCBI's taxonomy places the organism in Eukaryota, Viridiplantae, Streptophyta, Magnoliopsida, Solanales, Solanaceae. The record is from RefSeq and is a predicted model, not a curated record.
GAUGAUGUACUUAUGCAAUCAUUGGUUCGGAAAGAAGAAACUGAAAGAAUUACAAAUUUAGAUUGCCAUGAAUUAGUAGUUGUUCUCCACCAGGAAGUGGACAAGGUAAAAGAGAGUGAAAAUAAAGUGUUUGCUCACCUGAACAAAAGUAAUGAGUUGGACUCUGAAUUUUCACAAAGUGUAGGAAAAGAAUGUUCAAGAUCUUCAAAAUUCGACAUGCUUUCUUCCUCCAAUGUCUCGAUAGAUGUCCUUCACUUGAUGUCACCAUUAUUUCAAGAAGUAGAGAAUACAUGCUUUGCAAACUUGGAGCUCCAAAAUGUUGUUCCUAAAGAUAAAGCACACGGAGAAAUCAAUGAUCAUGUGGUCUUAACCUUGGCCAAGAACGAAGAAUUGACCAUCAAUUUUUUAUACAAUGAAGGUAUUUAAUUUAGCCAAGCAAGCAUGCUCUUAACGAUCACAUUCGAUAAGCUACGCGUAUUAUAUAGUUAGUGAUUGCAUCUAUAGUUUUUAGUAAUUAACUUUUAAUCCAAAAGAAAAUGUUUUAGUUCCA